GAGCACGUAGGGGGGUUUGUAAGUCAGAUGUGAAAGCCUUCUGUUCAACGGGAGAAUUGCAUCUGAAACUGCUAAUCUUGAGUAUAGGAGGGGAGAAUGGAACUUCUGGUGGAGCGGUGAAAUGCGUAGAUAUCAGAAGGAACGCCGGCGGCGAAAGCGAUUCUCUGGCCUAUUACUGACACUCAGUGUGCGAAAGCUAGGGGAGCAAACGGGAUAGAUACCCCGUAGCCUGCAAU
Molecule: ribosomal RNA, 236 nt
Filed under: Candidatus Scalindua wagneri
Lineage: Bacteria; Pseudomonadati; Planctomycetota; Candidatus Brocadiia; Candidatus Brocadiales; Candidatus Scalinduaceae
Description: partial 16S ribosomal RNA
Rfam family: Bacterial small subunit ribosomal RNA
Source: RNAcentral